GAUGAAGAACGUAGCAAAAUGCGAUAAGUAAUGUGAAUUGCAGAAUUCAGUGAAUCAUCGAAUCUUUGAACGCACAUUGCGCCCGCCAGUAUUCUGGCGGGCAUGCCUGUUCGAGCGUCAUUUCAACCCUCAAGCACAGCUUGGUGUUGGGACUCGGGUUAAUUCGCGUUCCCCAAAUUGAUUGGCGGUCACGUCGAGCUUCCAUAGCGUAGUAGUAAAACCCUCGUUACUGGUAAUCGUCGCGGCCACGCCGUUAAACCCCAACUUCUGAAUGUUGACCUCGGAUCAGGUAGGAAUACCCGCUGAACUUAAGCAUAUCAAUAAGCGGAGGA
RNAcentral lists this unclassified non-coding RNA (332 nucleotides) under soil metagenome. RNAcentral describes it as "partial contains 5.8S ribosomal RNA, internal transcribed spacer 2, and large subunit ribosomal RNA". The stretch from base 1 to 120 matches the Rfam family "5.8S ribosomal RNA", at positions 35 to 154 of the family's 154-position model. The record is from RNAcentral.